CAACAACAAACAAAAAGGGAAAUUCCCCAUUGAAGAUUGGUCUGUGAGGACCACUUCCUGGUCUUAACUUUGCUUCCUCUGACUCCAUUGGUAGAGAGGUACGCAAAUUUCUAAGGGAGCACCCUAGUGCCUCAUAACUCUUUGGUUUAACCAUCAUCUAGUAAUAGCCACCUGUCAUUAAAAAACCCAAGCAGUGAAACACUGCCAACACAUGGAAGGCGUAUAGAACUGAGAGGGCUGAGGCUGUCAGGCAUGGGAACAGAACAUUUCAUUCCUCUGGCCUUGAGUGAAGAAUAGAAACUACAGAGGGAAGGAUUUGGAGUGGCUAAUGUUGGCAGAAGUGAGAAUCAGAAUUAUGGAACUGCAAAGUCCUAUGACCUUCCAUUUACUGAAGAGGAAACAGAAGCACAGCAAGAGUGCUCAAGAGACUUACCUAAUGCCACUCCACACAGUAAGUACUGGAAUCCGGGACUUGGACUGCCAAUUCCAU
This 490-nucleotide long non-coding RNA is filed under the name Homo sapiens (human). Its description in RNAcentral is "HSALNT0193933". The record is from RNAcentral. Lineage: Eukaryota; Metazoa; Chordata; Mammalia; Primates; Hominidae.